Asparagus officinalis (garden asparagus) is the source of this 1182-nucleotide long non-coding RNA. RefSeq lists it as uncharacterized. The record is from RefSeq and is a predicted model, not a curated record. The transcript is spliced from 4 exons. Lineage: Eukaryota; Viridiplantae; Streptophyta; Magnoliopsida; Asparagales; Asparagaceae.
AAGCUAAGGAAAAGUCUUGCUUGAUUGAGAAAAGAGGUUAUGAAAUGUCUUGCUCGGUUUGCUUUGGCAAAAAGAGGCUUUGAAAAGCUGAUGUUAUAAAAUGUUCUAUUUAGCUGUCAUUUUCAUGUUGGCAUGCUUGAACCUUAGCAUUCAAAGUAAAUGAGGAAAAGUAGUUGCCAAGUUCUGCGCAAAAUAUCUGCACACUCAGGUGCUCAAGAAUGAAGCUUCUUCAGCUGGUGAUUUAGGUGUUUCUAUCCAAAAAUCUUUCUUCAGAAUGGAGGAGAUGAUGCGUGGGGCAGAGAGGAUGGAGGGAGUUAGCUGUAUUGGGAGAUAAGAUAAACAUGUUUACUGGUAUGAUAGAAGACUUCAUAUGGUCUCCGAAGGCUGGUGAUUCCCAUGACCAACAAGAUGACUGGGCAUUUGAAGAGGUUUGGGGAUGCACUGUUGGUGCUCAAUGAAAUGCCAAAGAGAGAUGGAUUAUGAACCCUCUCCCUGAGCUCCCUUCUAUCCCCACACACAGUACUAGCCAGCCAGCCAGUAAGCAAGAGCAAACCGGCCAUGGUUGUCACCGGAGUAAACAGCAGCCGUGGCCUGGCGGCCGAGACCCUGGCCUUCGCCGCCCAAGUCGUCUGAGGCCGCCUCUUCAUGGUCUUCACUUGCUUGUUCAUAUUGUCGGCAUCCGGCGCCACCUACAUCUUCAGCAUCUACUCCAAGGACAUAAAGUCCUCCCUCCACUACAACCAACAGACCCUCAACACCCUCAGCUUCUUUAAGGACCUCGGCAGCAACGUGGGCGUCCUCUCCGGCCUCAUCAACGAGGUCACACCUCCCUGGGUCGUUCUCUCGAUCGGCUCCGCCAUGAACCUCUUCGGCUACCUCAUGAUCUACCUCGCCAUCACCGGCCACAUAUCUCGCCCCGUCGUCUGUCAGAUGUACGUCUACAUCUGCAUCGGGGCCAACUCCCAGUCGUUCUCCAACACCGGAGCCCUGGUCACCUGCGUCAAGAACUUCCCUGAGAGUCGAGGGAUCGUCCUCGGCCUCCUCAAAGGCUUCGUUGGGCUCAACGACGCCAUCUUCACCCAGCUGUACCUGGCUUUCUACGGGUGGGGAGAGUGAUGGGAGAGGAGGAUGUUGAUGACAACAAUGAGGAAGAGGAGGGGGGGAGAGGGGAUGAAUUUGGGG